RNAcentral lists this small RNA (32 nucleotides) under Arabidopsis thaliana (thale cress). RNAcentral's name for it is "ATSL221440". The record is from RNAcentral. Lineage: Eukaryota; Viridiplantae; Streptophyta; Magnoliopsida; Brassicales; Brassicaceae.
AUCCAAAUGCUGGCGGCAAAGAAGAACAGAAC